CAGUAGCCGCGGGAAUACGUAGGGUGCAAGCGUUAAUCGGAAUUACUGGGCGUAAAGCGUGCGCAGGCGGUUAUAUAAGACAGAUGUGAAAUCCCCGGGCUCAACCUGGGAACUGCAUUUGUGACUGUAUAGCUAGAGUACGGCAGAGGGGGAUGGAAUUCCGCGUGUAGCAGUGAAAUGCGUAGAUAUGCGGAGGAACACCGAUGGCGAAGGCAAUCCCCUGGGCCUGUACUGACGCUCAUGCACGAAAGCGUGGGGAGCAAACAGGAUUAGAUACCCCCGUAGUCCCUGUCUCUUAUAA
RNAcentral lists this ribosomal RNA (301 nucleotides) under uncultured bacterium. Its description in RNAcentral is "partial 16S ribosomal RNA". It matches the Rfam family "Bacterial small subunit ribosomal RNA", at positions 509 to 809 of the family's 1533-position model. The record is from RNAcentral.